This 502-nucleotide ribosomal RNA is filed under the name uncultured bacterium. RNAcentral describes it as "bacterial SSU rRNA". It matches the Rfam family "Bacterial small subunit ribosomal RNA", at positions 8 to 526 of the family's 1533-position model. The record is from RNAcentral.
AGAGUUUGAUCAUGGCUCAGAAUCAACGCUGGCGGCGUGCCUAACACAUGCAAGUCGCACGAGAAAGUGGAGCAAUCCAUGAGUACAGUGGCGCACGGGUGAGUAACACGUGACUAACCUACCUUCGAGUGGGGAAUAACCUCGGGAAACCGGGGCUAAUACCGCAUAACAUCUUCUGGCUGAGAUGCCGGUUGAUCAAAGUAGUAAUGUGCUUGAAGAGGGGGUCGCGGCUGAUUAGCUAGUUGGUGGGGUAACGGCCCACCAAGGCGAUGAUCAGUAGCCGGCCUGAGAGGGCGCACGGCCACACUGGAACUGAAACACGGUCCAGACUCCUACGGGAGGCAGCAGUGGGGAAUUUUGCGCAAUGGGGGAAACCCUGACGCAGCAACGCCGCGUGGAGGAUGAAGUCCCUUGGGACGUAAACUCCUUUCGAUCGGGACGAUUAUGACGGUACCGGAAGAAGAAGCCCCGGCUAACUUCGUGCCAGCAGCCGCGGUAAUUC